RNAcentral lists this ribosomal RNA (1461 nucleotides) under Lacticaseibacillus rhamnosus. RNAcentral describes it as "bacterial SSU rRNA". It matches the Rfam family "Bacterial small subunit ribosomal RNA". Lineage: Bacteria; Bacillati; Bacillota; Bacilli; Lactobacillales; Lactobacillaceae. The record is from RNAcentral.
GAGUGGCGGACGGGUGAGUAACACGUGAGGUAACCUGCCCUUAAGUGGGGGAUAACAUUUGGAAACAGAUGCUAAUACCGCAUAAAUCCRAGAACCGCAUGGUUCUUGGCUGAAAGAUGGCGUAAGCUAUCGCUUUUGGAUGGACCCGCGGCGUAUUAGCUAGUUGGUGAGGUAACGGCUCACCAAGGCAAUGAUACGUAGCCGAACUGAGAGGUUGAUCGGCCACAUUGGGACUGAGACACGGCCCAAACUCCUACGGGAGGCRGCAGUAGGGAAUCUUCCACAAUGGACGCAAGUCUGAUGGAGCAACGCCGCGUGAGUGAAGAAGGCUUUCGGGUCGUAAAACUCUGUUGUUGGAGAAGAAUGGUCGGCAGAGUAACUGUUGUCGGCGUGACGGUAUCCAACCAGAAAGCCACGGCUAACUACGUGCCAGCAGCCGCGGUAAUACGUAGGUGGCAAGCGUUAUCCGGAUUUAUUGGGCGUAAAGCGAGCGCAGGCGGUUUUUUAAGUCUGAUGUGAAAGCCCUCGGCUUAACCGAGGAAGUGCAUCGGAAACUGGGAAACUUGAGUGCAGAAGAGGACAGUGGAACUCCAUGUGUAGCGGUGAAAUGCGUAGAUAUAUGGAAGAACACCAGUGGCGAAGGCGGCUGUCUGGUCUGUAACUGACGCUGAGGCUCGAAAGCAUGGGUAGCGAACAGGAUUAGAUACCCUGGUAGUCCAUGCCGUAAACGAUGAAUGCUAGGUGUUGGAGGGUUUCCGCCCUUCAGUGCCGCAGCUAACGCAUUAAGCAUUCCGCCUGGGGGAGUACGACCGCAAGGUUGAAACUCAAAGGAAUUGACGGGGGGCCCGCACAAGCGGUGGAGCAUGUGGUUUAAUUCGAAGCAACGCGAAGAACCUUACCAGGUCUUGACAUCUUUUGAUCACCUGAGAGAUCAGGUUUCCCCUUCGGGGGCAAAAUGACAGGUGGUGCAUGGUUGUCGUCAGCUCGUGUCGUGAGAUGUUGGGUUAAGUCCCGCAACGAGCGCAACCCUUAUGACUAGUUGCCAGCAUUYAGUUGGGCACUCUAGUAAGACUGCCGGUGACAAACCGGAGGAAGGUGGGGAUGACGUCAAAUCAUCAUGCCCCUUAUGACCUGGGCUACACACGUGCUACAAUGGAUGGUACAACGAGUUGCGAGACCGCGAGGUCAAGCUAAUCUCUUAAAGCCAUUCUCAGUUCGGACUGUAGGCUGCAACUCGCCUACACGAAGUCGGAAUCGCUAGUAAUCGCGGAUCAGCACGCCGCGGUGAAUACGUUCCCGGGCCUUGUACACACCGCCCGUCACACCAUGAGAGUUUGUAACACCCGAAGCCGGUGGCGUAACCCUUUUAGGGAGCGAGCCGUCUAAGGUGGGACAAAUGAUUAGGGUGAAGUCGUAACAAGGUAGCCGUAGGAGAACCUGCGGCUGGAUCACCUCCUUUCU